This is a long non-coding RNA of Astatotilapia calliptera (eastern happy), 896 nucleotides long. The record is from Ensembl. Lineage: Eukaryota; Metazoa; Chordata; Actinopteri; Cichliformes; Cichlidae.
UCUGGUGUCUGACCCAUACUGCUGUUCUCCUUCCUUUGCAGCUCUUCUGAGACAGUAUAUUGCCACAGCUGGAGAAGGACUGUUGCCGAAUACGUGAACCCUCAUCCUGUAUUCAACAAUGUCCUUGCUGGGAUCAUUAUCUCUAUACCACAGAAAGCGUUGUAUGGCAGUUUUUCCACGAUGGGUUUGAUGCUACGGGCGGUAUCCAGGUACUUCGCCAUGUCCAUCAUCACUGAAGACUCUGGAGGGACAACCUCUAGCAUUCUGUUCAGAAUCAGACACACUUGAAACCCAACAGUUGGUGAAAAAAAACACCUGCUGGACUUCAUCUGGACAAACCUGGGAGGUUACGUCACUGAUCUCGAGUUGCUGUUUCUCCCAUCAAACCUCAAUGGAUAGCCACAGCGACCACAGCUUUUCCAGACCCUAGCGGCUGGCGGUUGGGAGCACGCUCAGUUGCUGCUGCUCUGUUUCCUGAACAUUUCAUGAUGCUUCACAAACCUGUGAGGGGCAGUAAAAAGUGAUAUUUCCAUUGCGACCCAUGUGUGUGGACGGUGGACAGGUCUAUAUGUGUAAGGAUGCCUAUGGUGGCCCCAUGAUCGGAAGGUCGGGGGUUCGAAUCCACUGAACGGCUACCCUGAGGUACCCCUGAGCAAGGUACCGUCCCAGUGGCUGCCCACUGCUUCACUGAGUGGGUUAAAUGCAGAGUGGAAUUUCCCCACGGGGAUCAAUAAAGUAUACAUUAUUAUUAUUAGGUCUUUCCGUAUGAAUAGGUGUGUAGUGGGUUAUUGUCUGCUUCUGUGUUUAUGAAUGUGUGUAGAUGUGACACUGGUUGCUCCAUCUGCGAUGACCUCAUUGUAAUAAUGACACCAUUAUUCUCUCUAACUAAGAUUCCA